UAUUAGAAAAUAAGUGGGGAAGUUUUUUUAAGAGGGUAAAAAGGUAAAAUUUAAAUGAUUUUAAGGAGACGAAGCUUGCGAAGGCGACUUUUUAUAAUAUACUGACGUUGAGAUACAAAAGUAUAGGGGAGCAAAAGAGGAUUAGAGACCCUCGUAGUCUAUACUGUGACCGAUGAAAUAUUAGGAAAAAUAAAAAAUGUACUUUUAUUUUAUUUUAUCUAAGCUAACGCGUAAAUAUUCCGCCUGGGAACUAUGGCCGCAAGGUUAAAACUCAAAGGAAUUGACGGAGAACAGACCAAGUAGUGGAGUAUGUGGUUUAAUCCGAUAGUCCGCGCAAAAACCUUACCAAUUCUAGUUUAUAUAUAUAAAUAUCUAACAUGAUGUUUAUAUCUUAAUAAUUUGAAUAAUUAUUUUCAGAUAUAAGUAUAAUCAGGUGUUGCAUGGCUGAUGUAAGUUCGUGUUGUCAAAUAUCCUGUUAAUUCCGGAAACGAACGCGAC
This 498-nucleotide ribosomal RNA is filed under the name uncultured bacterium. Its description in RNAcentral is "bacterial SSU rRNA". It matches the Rfam family "Bacterial small subunit ribosomal RNA", at positions 639 to 1102 of the family's 1533-position model. The record is from RNAcentral.